GAAAAAAAUUUGACUUUGAAAUAUUUUUACGAUUAAAAAGUUUCAGUUCACUUUUGAACGUUGACGAAGACGGACGUACUUUCGUGAGCUCUGACUAUUGAUGAAAAGUUUUGAGUUUUACUGACUUGUACUUUGAGAGUAAAAUUGACUUCGCGUUAUAGAAUAGCGACUUGGUACUCAGGUUGUUGAAUGACUGGAUGACUGAAGUGUUAGGUUAUUGUUAUGAGAUAACAACUUGACUUUGACUUGAGUUGUGAAAUGAAACCAUACUCUUAUGCGAUGUUAACUUUUGAACGUUUAGUAUUGACUGACAACGAAAUUUUGUGAGCGUUAUAUAUGAAAUGUUUGACUUACAUUAAUUUUUUUGAACGACUUGACUUCACUUUAAGUUUUGACAUCGGACUGAUCGGACGUGUUUUUUUAAGCUCUGACUGUUGUGAAUAAUUAAAUUUAUGUUGUGGUGUCAAGCGAUUGACUGUCAGUUGAGGUUCAGAUGUCGAGCUGUGCGGACGUGUUCAUCGAGCUGCUGUCUACAAAAAACGGUGCUGUGGUGAGUACUGUAGAUUGUAGUGCAUAUGUAUAGAAUUCAAUAAAAGAUUAUGACUGAAAACUGCUUUUGAUUCUUAUUGUACAGUUUUAGGGAUUAUAAGUCUAUAACAACUCUGUCGGUUGGUGUUCAUGAGUGUGAGCUUAAUACAGCAAUGUUUGAGUAGUACAAAAAUGUUUUCGCUUUUGUGGUCGCCAGCUGUCCGUGAUCUGUAAAGUGAAAAUACACAGAGCUAUGAAGCAUACAAAUGUUUCGAAAUUUUAUCAAUGAUUGUAUACUAUGCAUGUUUUGAUUUAGUUCGUUUCAGAUUUGACAUGAGAUGAAAACCUGACAUGAUUUGAACAGAGCUGGGAAACGAAAAGAUUUUCAGAUGUGUGCUGGCAGUUCAAGUCUGGCAGCUGGAGUGAACAGUCGUGUUUUCUGGAGCUCCAACAAUAUGCUAGAAGGAGUGCUUAUCCAGUGAUGAUAUGACAGUUGGAGUGAACAGUGGAGCCAAGCAGUCUUGUUUUUGGAGCUACUCAACAAGCCUUGAAGGUGUACUUGCUGACAGCGACGAAGACGAAUCAAGAAGAGGAACAUUGUUCAGAAAGUGAUUGGGACUUGCAAACAGGAUUCGAGUCACUGGUUUACACAUGGAAGAAGAUUUCCACGUCGGUUACUCAACUCUACAGAAGCAAGUGGAUGUCCAGAUGGCAAGCAGAACAGACGUGUUUCUUGGAGCUGCCAAACAGUGAGUACAAACGUUUUAUAUUUUUCAGUUGUUUACUCAUAGAAGUCUGUGAAAGAUGAUAACAAGGGUUGAAUUGCACAGUACUUGUGUCUAAAAAUGCUGAUGUGUGACGGUUUACUGAAAAGGGUAAAUGCUAGCCAGUACUAACACUUGAGCAACCGUGGGAUGUCGAACUAACUGAUGAUGUACUAUGAUGGUGAACACUUACUUUGUGUAUCGAAAUGCUUUUGUUGAUAUUUACUAAAUAUUGAUUGACAUUUGUUUGCAUGCUGUUAACAUUUCUAUUUCAUUUCAGUUGGCUGUGGUGAGUAUUGUAAUAUACAUUUGUUUCAAUAAAUCAUGAUGAAUGAACACUGAUUUCGAUUCUUUUUUACAGUUUUAGGGAUUAUCACUCUAUAACAACUCUGUCGGUUGGUGUUCGUGAAUGUGAGCUUAAUGUUUGAGUAGUACAAAAAUGUCUUUACUUUUGUGAUCGCCAGUUGUCUGUGAUGUAAAGUGGAAAAAACACAGCUAUGAAGCAUACAAUUGUUUCAAUAUUUUAUCAAUGAUAGUGUGCUAUGCAUGUUUUGAUUUAGUUCGUUUCAGAUACGACAUGACAUGAAGAGUUGACAGUCGAACAGAGCUGAGCAAAGCAGAAAGGUAAGUGUGUUUCAUUUUAGUAUGGACACUUGUAUUUUGUUUUUAUAUGGUAUGUUUUGUGCAUGCUAUGUUUCAGGUGUACUUGUAGUCAGCGACGAAGACGAUUCAAGAAGAGGAACAUUGCUGAGAAAGUGAAUGGGACUUGCAAACAGGGUAAGUGUUACAAUUGUUUGUUUGAUUUUUACCAUGCAUACUUUGCUUUGCUCUGUUUCAGAUUUCACAUGCAGAAAUGGUCUCAUAGCAGUGCCAACAGUGAAUAAGGAUUUCAGCUGCUGUGAAACAACUCAACAGAAAGUAGGUAAGCAUUGAAUGAAUGCACUUGAGUUGUACAAUUUGAUGUGAUGCUUUUCUCUGUUUCAGAUUCAAGUUCCUGGUGUAGACAGAGAAAUGUGUUUGAAGAAGGAAUUCUACUACUGUGAUUCAACUCUACAGAAGCAAGGUAAGUAGAAACAAAAUUUUGGUUUAAUUUAACUCAUGUGUUUUGCACUGCAUGCUAUUUUUCAGGUCUCUCAUGCAGUGAUGGAAAAGAAGAAGAUUUCAAGAAAGAAUCACUGCUGCAACUCAGGCCUAUAACAAGGUAAGUGUUUACUAUAUUGUAUACAAAAUGUUUCUCUGUUUUACUCUGUUUCAGGUUUCAAUUGCAGAGAUGUUGCAGAGAUGUUUUGACAGCUUGUGGCAGAAAAGAAAUUCAGCAUCUGUUUCUCGACUCUAGCCACGAGGUAAGUCAAAACAAAUAUACUGGUUUGUAUGUAAUGUUGUUAUGCCCUUCUAUGUUUCAGACUUACAUUGCUGUGACUGUUCCACAGUGGGUCAAAAAAGAGACGAAUACAGGUUUCAAGAAGAAAAUUGGCUGUUAAAAACCUGCACAAAAUAUGAGGUAAGUAAACUACUCUUUUGGUUUGUUUUGUGCUUUGUUAUGCUUAACUAUUUUUCAGAUUGGAAUGGUGGGUCGUUACAGAGCAGACUUUUGGACUACUGAGAAGUUGAGAAACAGAGAAUGAUUCAAGAUCAGCUAGGUAAGUCUUGAUUAUUAUGCAUUGCUAAAUGUUUUUUUCAUUCCAGUAUGGCUGUGGUAAGUACACAAACUUUCUAUAAUUUAAUAUUGAACUGUUUUUAUGACCUGUAUUCUGCAUUGUAAAAUGUCUGUUUUUCAUUUCAGUAUCCUGUGGUAAGUACACUAACUUUGUAUAAUUUCAUAUUGAAAUGUUUUGAUGACUUGUAUCCUGCUAUGCAAUGCUUAAUAUAUUUUUCAUUUCAGUGUGGCUGUGGUAAGUACACUAACUUUCUUUUCUUUUUCAUAUUGAACUGUUUUGGUGACUUGUAUUCUGCUAUACAAAAUGUGUUUUUUUCAUUUCAGUUGCCUGUGGUAAGUACAAUUGCCUUCUUUAAUUUUCAUAUUGAACUGUUUUGAUGACUUGUAUACUGCAUUGUAAAAUGUGUUUCUUUUUCAUUUCAGUAUGGCUGUGGUAAGUACAAUUGCCUUCUUUAAUUUUCAUAUUGAACUGUUUUGAUGACUUUUAUUCUGCCAUACAAAAUGUGUUUUUUUUCAUUUCAGUUGCCUGUUGGUAAGUACAAUUUGCUUUCUUUAAUUGCAUAUUGAAAUAUGUUUUAUGACUUUUAUUCUGCUAUGCUUUUUUCAUUUCAGUUUGGCAGAUGUAAGUACACUUCAUUUAUGUAAAAACUGAAUAUGAUUGUUGUGCUAUACAAAAUGUGCUUUUUUCAAUUUCAGGUCAGCAAUGGUAAGUAGAUUGUGUUUCUUUAUGUAUAAUUUUGUAUACAUAUUGUUUUUUUUCAUCAUAGCAUGUCUUUUAUAUUUAUGCUUUGUGUAAGUAAAAUGUUCAUAAAUCAUUCUUAUCUUCAAACUAAAAAUGUAUUGUGCUAUGCAAAAUGUCUGUAUGAUUUCAGUUGCCAGAGGUGAGUACCAUUACAGUUGAAAAGUUAGUUUUGUUUAGUUAAAGUUUUGGUUCACAGUUCUGUUUAUUAUUUGGCAAAAUUUACAUGUAUGCAUUGAGUCUUGAUUUCAGCUCGAUUGUGGACUGAAGAAGAUUGCCAGCAGAGGGAUUGGAUACAAAAUACAAACCCUACUACAAGACGAGUGUUUUCUACUACUAGACGUGUCAGGUUUACUUCCAGGCGAGCAGUGACAACAAGGCGCCUUUGUGGAAACAGCAAAACAAACAACUCUACUGCAAGACGAGCAGUAACAGCAAGGCGCCUGAACAUGCAACACAAUACAAAAAAUGCCAAUUUGCAAACCUUGAUGUGGACACCGAGUAGUCAAUACAUACGUGUGGCGUAUAGCUGCGACAAAACCGUGGGUCCAUCGCACCGAUAACUUGAACAUUGGCCCGUGUAUGGACAUCAGUGCAACUUUGUGAAUCCAUGUAUCUUUGUGAAUCCAUGUAACAUUGCGAAUGUGUGUCGAUCGAAAAAUGUGUACAUUCUGAACUGAAACGAACUCGGUGUUGCAAGUGGCAAGUGUUGACAGUGUGUAUGUUUAUGUUUAUGUUUUUACAUGAAAACUAAAGGAGAUUGUUCUCCUACCUUUUUUUUCCUUGUUUUAUUGCGCUGGCCAGCAAUAUUGAUGUAUUGAUGUAUGUGUUUGUGUUUAAACUAUGCAAUACCAAAAUCAAACAAAAAAUAAACAUUAACAGUCAUUAACUGUGUUUGGGCGGCCGAGGGGUUUAAGACUCCACAAGUGUGAAGCGCACUGAUAGCACUUGGGGGUGAACACCUCGGUAUUUCGGUGCUAAAAUGUUUUCACGGUGCUUAUCUUGACGCACUGUUAAGACUACCAACCAGUUAAUGAUUGCUUCAUCUUUAAACAAAAAGUAAGUCUCUACUUUGGCACAAGAGACUCCAAGUACCAAAUACCAACAAUUAAAAAGCAGACGUUUUUCAAAACUAUGAUCGCUGAGAUUGAUAGUCAGAUGGAGUCCUGCCCAUUUAGCUGUGUAGCGGUCUAGGGCGGGG
Molecule: long non-coding RNA, 4889 nt
Organism: Dreissena polymorpha
Lineage: Eukaryota; Metazoa; Mollusca; Bivalvia; Myida; Dreissenidae
Exons: 10
Source: RefSeq, a predicted model, not a curated record